Molecule: RNA transcript, 4681 nt
Organism: Pogoniulus pusillus (Red-fronted tinkerbird)
Lineage: Eukaryota; Metazoa; Chordata; Aves; Piciformes; Lybiidae
Gene: FAIM
Gene name: Fas apoptotic inhibitory molecule
Exons: 6
Source: RefSeq, a predicted model, not a curated record
GGAGCGGCGGGAUGUGAGGUUUGGGUUCGUGCCCGCCGAGGCCUGAGAUCUGCUCAGGUGCCUGGGAGCUGCCGUGCCUUGCCGCCCCGAUACGCAUCGCUUGGCGGCAUGGCCGGGCUCGCCCAGGCCGAGGGAGCGUCUCCCGGGCUCCUUGGAGACUGGCCGCUGGAGGAGGAGAAAGCGGACCUUAUCUCCGCCGGCGUGUGUUUGGACGGGUUGGCGCGGGCUCUGCCCGGAGAAGGGGUGGGACGUGCCGGGAAGCCUUCCAGGAGGUCGGCGGCGCUCCGCUGCUUGGGGCAGGAGCGGCCCCGGGCGGGCUCGCGUGUUCUCCCUAGCAUGCAGGAUCAUGGCGGUUAGCACUAAGCUGAGGAGGAUUUGGAGUCGUCGCUGUCUGUGGACUCGAUGCUAUAAAAGUUUCUUGCUGGCAAUAAACGUCGGCAGUGGGGAGAAAUUUGCCAUCUCGAGUUCAUGUGGGUCCUAGAACACCAUCCAACGUUGUCAGCAGUCGGCUAUGGAUUAGGUGGAUGCAGAGCAGUAAUCCUACACCAGUUCUCAAUGCCUUAUGUAUGAAGGGGGAAAUCUCCCUUUGAGCUGCUUGCCUUGAUAAACAGAAAGUGCAGUGAAACGAGACGGUGGUGGUUAGCACAAAUCCGUUUCCUUGGAUUCGAGCCAGUGAGCGAAUGCCUGAGGGCUGAUGUCCAGCAUCUCCCACUCAUGUACUCCUUUGCCCUCGGACCGCGUCGGUACCGACUGCCCAGAAAACAGCUCUGGCCUGCAGCUUGGGGUCGGGUUUGGUUUUAAGGAAAUUGUGUGUACUGGGGUGUUUCCCAGCCCUUUCAGCACCGAACCAAACCUAUCCGCUGAAACUUGUGUGGCAGGGUUGUGUGCUGCCAGGCGUGAUGUGAGACUCUGGGUGGCCUGUAGACGUCCUCCAUCUGUCACUCUUUCUGGCUUUCGAUUUCGUGCCCGAGGCCUCUUCUUGUGUUGAUGAAGCCGCCAGGGACAGGCGUGGGUCAGUGCCUCAGCCCCUGGCACUCGCCACUUUGAGGAGAAGGGGAAAGGGAAGGGGGAAGUGCAGAAAUACAGCCUCUCGGACUUCCAGCCUAUGCCAGGGAAUUACACAGCAUCACACACUAUUAUUGACGCUGAAAUAGACCUCCUGAGAUCAUCGGGUCCAGCCUAUGACCUUACACCACCACAUUGACUAGACCGUAUCAGUGCCACGUCCAGUCUUAAUCAUAGAAUCAUAGAAUGAACCAGGUUGGAAGAGACCUCCAAGAUCAUCCAGUCCAACCUAGCACCCAGCCCUAUCCAGUCAACUAGACCAUGGCACUAAGUGCCUCAUCCAGUGCCUGCCUGCUUCUUUACCAGUAGGUAAAGAGCACAGCUGAUCUGUCCCUCAGUACAACUCUGGUAGACUGAACCUCUCAGGGGCUGUAAUGAUAACUCCUAGACAUUGUGGAACUUUCCAGUUAUUUGAGGAAAUAAUUGUUUCAGAAUAAACCAGUGUUUCUUAAUGCAGACCUUGUUUGUUAUAUUCUGAAGCACACCUUGAAAUGCAACACUGAACACAAAUUUCUUUUUGAUUGGGUUAAUGGAAACAAUUUCUCUCUUCAGCAAGCACUCGCUUUCUGAGUGAAACUUGAACAUGUCUUGUCAAUCAUUGAUUAAUUUCUUCUUUUUCCUCUUGGGCCCACCUGAAGAUGUCAUGUAUCUCUCAAAAGCAUGUAAUCUGAAAGGAUGCUGAGCAAAGAUUUUAUUUUUCAGACCAGUCCAACAGCUACUGCUUGAUCUGACAAAUAGGUCAGGCAAACUUAUUUUUGGAAAACCAGUUUGGUCAGCUGAUGAAGGGCCUUGGAGUGCGUUUAAUAAAGAAAAUCACAAUUAAUGCCUAACUGUUAUUUUUCUGAUUUGAUGUUUCAUGCCAUAGAGUCAUACAAUACAGGCUAUAGGGGACCUCAGAGGGGCAUCCCAUUCAACCUUGCUGCUCAAAGCAGGGUCAGAGAUGAGAGAAGGUUGCUGGCAACUUUAUCCAAUCGUUAAAAAAAAAUCAAAGAAUUUAGCAUAACCACACAAUCUCUCUGGGCAACCCUUUCCAGUGCUUGACUGCUCAUAGUGGAAAGGUUUUUCUUCAUAUCUUGCUGAAACCUCUCUUUUUCAGUUUAUGCUCAUUGUCUCUCUUCCUCUUUCUCGGCUAGGUUGGGGCUUAUGUUAGUUAAGGCUGCAAAAAAUAACCUCUUAUUUCUUGUCAGUAUUUCUGCAUGCAUUUGGAGGGACAAUUACAGUAUCCUUUAAGCUCUAAGGCAAGGUCUUGCCUUAAACACCUCCAGGGAUUUCCCACCGCCUCCCUGGGCAGGUGGUGCGAAUGUAAGAAUUAAAUCCUUGGAACCUUAAAACAGUUUAACUGUUCUUAAAAGUUAUUUUUUCAGCUUGUGAGCAGAAAUGUGUGCGAUUACUGACAAAACCACGGGCAGUAACAAAGAGCAUGCUACAAAAUAGAACCUUAAAACAGAGUGGAGGAGGCUUAAUUUUUAAAUGCACAAUCCUCUGUUGAGCUGAAGAGAGACCCUGGAUUGUACAGCUUUAGUUUUAAUUCAUUUUUUACUGAACAUUGCAAUUUAUCAAAAAUUAAAUUUAUUGCACUUUAAUUAUGCUCUCUGAUGUGCACAGACAAUGCAGAUGGCUCUUAAUAUACUGGUUGGUGUAGUGAAAUUGUCAGUAGUGUUGUAAGACACAGUCAUGGUCUAAAAACCUCUAGUAAGAAGUUACAUAUUUAUGGUUCACUUAGACAUGAUUGAGUUACCAGGUCAAAUUGCUAGUAUGAUCGUUGAAAACUACUGCAGUGAUUCAUGAAAACAAGUAGGUUGAAAUUGGUGUUGCCUGUGCUAUUUCACUUUCCUUGAAGUGGUGGUAAUCCCUAGGUUGUCCUGGUUUGUGACUGAGGUGGGCAGCUGUGGACUUGGUUCCUCCUUUGGACAAGUUGUUAAUUUCUGAGCUUUUGUUCACAAGUUAGUGAUGAAGUUAGGAUAAACUCCACUUACUCGUUUUAUAGAAGAAUACUUAACACUUGCCUUUCUAAGAGGAAAAAUGAACGUUUGUAUUUCAUCCUGUAUGUGGCAGUACAUGAUAGUUUAUGACUCUUUUGGAAAUGUUCUUUAUCUUAAAUGCAGAAAACAAGAAAAAUUUAGGCCUCAACACUUCUGUGCUGCUAUUCUACUUCUCUUUUUAUCUUGCUGCUAAUUGGAUUAAAAGCUGUUUUGCUUACUAUGGCAUCCCGGGAGGAGAUUACUGUCUGUGAAGAUGAAGUAAGGUCUCGGUACAGCCACCUAGAGAAGAUGACAGAUCUGGUGGCUGUUUGGGAAGUAGCUUUAAGUGAUGGUAUUCAUAAGAUUGAAUUUGAACAUGGGACUACUUCAGGAAAACGCGUUGUCUAUGUUGAUGGAAAGGAAGAGAUAAGAAAAGAAUGGAUGUUUAAAUUAGUGGGUAAGGAAACGUUCACUGUUGGAGCAGCCAAAACGAGAGCUGCUAUUAACAUUGAUGCAGUCAGUGGCUUUGCAUAUGAAUAUACUUUGGAGAUCAAUGGAAAGAGCCUCAAGAAGCAUAUGGAGAACAGGUCAAAAACAACCAAUACUUGGAUACUGAGCUUGGGCGGUACAGACUAUAGAGUUGUUCUAGAAAAGGACACUAUGGAUGUGUGGUGCAAUGGUCAGAAAAUGGAAACAGCGGGUGAAUUCGUAGAAGAUGGGACUGAAACUCAUUUCAGUGUUGGUGAUCACAGUUGUUACAUUAAGGCUGUCAGCAGUGGAAAACGAAAGGAAGGAAUUAUUCAUACCCUUAUUGUGGAUGACAGAGAAAUCCCAGAGGCUGUGGAGUAGCCUCUAGUUAACUGAUUAUUGUAGGACUAAAAUCAGGAAUUUUCAAUUACUGUGGUAAUUAUUUUCAUAUGUACUACUUGGUACAUCUAGUUUGUGCUGGGUUUAUUUUCUAGUUUCUGUAUAUGAAAUAAUUCUUUUUGAGGACCAGAAGAAAAUUAUUACAUACAACCUCUUGUAUUACCAGUUUUUAAAAAACUAUAUAUAUAUAUAUAUGUAAUAUAUAUUAUACUACUAAGCGAAGAGAACCUUGAACCUAAGUAGAAAUCAUAUACUAGGAAAAAAUCUUGCUCUAAUAAAGUGGAACAUAAAUACUAAAACUGAAUCCUUGUAAACUGUGGGUGUGUAUGUGGAGGAAGGAGAAAGCAUGUUCUGGGUAUUCAAGUAAGCUGUUAGAAGCUUCCUCAGUAAUCACUUUUUUCCUAUUAAACCCACUAUCAAGGCUUAUCAGAUGCAGUUAACUGAAUGGUUACUAAUGGAGUACUGAUACCAGUACUUGUGUGAUAGUAUUAAAGUAAUACUUUGCUAUGGAAACUGUUCUUUGUUCUGAAUAGGAGAAAAGAUGCUAUGCUGUGCCAAAAAAAAAUUCCUUAUGGUUUUCUGCAAACUGAUACUCGUCAGAUAUUGUUGCACCUCCCAAAGAGACUGAACACCACUGAGAAGCCUGAAGCUCAAAUACAGUUUAAGUCAUGUUGUUAAGACUAUAUAAAAAAUAACAGGUUAGCAAAUAUGUAAAAUUCAUUAUUUAUUUUGAAUACAAGAUAUUACAAACAUUGUAAAUACUUAACUAAUAAAAGGUACAACAGCAA